This is a long non-coding RNA of Sebastes umbrosus (honeycomb rockfish), 119 nucleotides long. RefSeq lists it as uncharacterized. The transcript is spliced from 3 exons. The record is from RefSeq and is a predicted model, not a curated record. NCBI's taxonomy places the organism in Eukaryota, Metazoa, Chordata, Actinopteri, Perciformes, Sebastidae.
CCAGUUUUGCCCUGUCCAAUAUGGCGUCCACGUUGAUGUAUCGCAGCAACGGGCUGAAGCGUCCAAUGCGGCGUCUAUGUAUAUAUGUCUAUGGCAACAACUCCAGUGCAUUUUGGGUU